This 633-nucleotide ribosomal RNA is filed under the name Dendropsophus anceps (Estrella treefrog). Its description in RNAcentral is "partial large subunit ribosomal RNA". It matches the Rfam family "Bacterial large subunit ribosomal RNA", at positions 1783 to 2631 of the family's 2925-position model. Lineage: Eukaryota; Metazoa; Chordata; Amphibia; Anura; Hylidae. The record is from RNAcentral.
AGCAGGGCUCGCCGCCUGUUUAUCAAAACAUCGCCUCUUGAACACAUAUAAGAGGUCCAGCCUGCCCAGUGACUAAAUUCAACGGCCGCGGUAUCCUAACCGUGCGAAGGUAGCGUAAUCACUUGUUCUUUAAAUGAGGACUAGUAUGAAUGGCACCACGAGGGUUAUACUGUCUCCUUUUUCUAAUCAAUGAAACUGAUCUCCCCGUGAAGAAGCGGGGAUAAGACUAUCAGACGAGAAGACCCUAUGGAGCUUCAAACAACAUAGCAAUGGCUUAUUUACCUAUAUAAUUUCAGAAUACCUAUACUUAUCUUAGCCUUUUGACUAUUAGUUUUGGGUUGGGGUGACCACGGAGCAAAACCUAACCUCCAUGUUGGAUAGAUCUCCUCUUGAGCCAAAAGCCACAACUUUAAGCACCAAUAAACUGACAUAACUUGACCCAAUAUUUUGAGCAACGAACCAAGUUACCCUAGGGAUAACAGCGCAAUCCACUUCAAGAGCCCCUAUCGACAAGUGGGUUUACGACCUCGAUGUUGGAUCAGGGUAUCCCAGUGGUGCAGCCGCUACUAAAGGUUCGUUUGUUCAACGAUUAAAACCCUACGUGAUCUGAGUUCAGACCGGGCGAGCCCUGCU